This 72-nucleotide transfer RNA is filed under the name Ictidomys tridecemlineatus (thirteen-lined ground squirrel). RNAcentral describes it as "Spermophilus tridecemlineatus (thirteen-lined ground squirrel) tRNA". It matches the Rfam family "tRNA". Rfam says of the family: Transfer RNA (tRNA) molecules are approximately 80 nucleotides in length. The record is from Rfam by way of RNAcentral. Lineage: Eukaryota; Metazoa; Chordata; Mammalia; Rodentia; Sciuridae.
GGAGUUGUAGCUCAGUGGUAGAGCACUUGUCUAGCAUGUGUGAGGCACUGGGUUCAAUUCUCAGCACCCACA